UCCGACGUGUGGGCCUUUCUUCCGUAUUUCCUGAUAACCCCCUGUAGAAAUAGACAAACACCAAAACUCGUGGAAUUCUGUCAGAUAAAACCCUAAGUCUAGAUAUUGAUUCCAUUUGGAUCCUUUUCUUUAUUUAUUUGAUAAUUAAAUUUGAUACUUAAGGACCGUCAACAAUGUCAAGGUUGAUUUUUGAGCCGAUAGUAUGCUAUAAUAUAUAUUGGAUAUUUUGUUGGACUAACCCCUGCAGGAAAACUUUCAAUAUCGACCUGGGAAGUCCUGAGAUAAACUCACACUAGAGACAAAGAGAGAGACACAUGAAGUUUAAUAAUUUACACAAGGAAGACAUAGCUCAUAAGAGAUGAUGCAUGGAAGGUGCCACAAACACGAUGCACAACCGC
This 398-nucleotide long non-coding RNA is filed under the name Sorghum bicolor (sorghum). Its description in RNAcentral is "long non-coding RNA (SBIC_LNC008149)". Lineage: Eukaryota; Viridiplantae; Streptophyta; Magnoliopsida; Poales; Poaceae. The record is from RNAcentral.